CAGCUAUUGAAAGCAGACUUCUGAAAUUUGAAUUAAAGGAUGUCUUUAUUAGCUAUCUGUGGUGGUAGUAGAUAAUAAUUUAAUAACACCUCUCUGUUGGCCUAUCCAACAGAAGGCUACGUGAUCAUUGUGUACAAAAACCAUGUAACAAAGCACAGGUUAGUCCUGGUUCUGUGAUAACAGAAAGGUGUUACGGUGACUGGAAGCUUUCUGCUUUCCAUUUUGGGAUGUUUUAGGGAGAUAGUAGCACUCCUGAACACAGUAAUACUUGUUUCUGUAUUGAUUAAACUUUUACAUGCACUUCCAUCUUCACCAAUUUGUCAUUCCCCUCCUUUCUCUUACCCCCAUAGUUUUGGGAAACAGCUGUCAUCACCAUCUUGCUGAUGAGGACAAAUGGUGGAAAUGACAGAAAUGUCAUUCUGUUUGCAAACAAGAUAAAAGCAAACCUGAAACUCAAAUGCACUUUCAACCAUCAAGUGGAGAAAACUGUCAUCAGAUCAAGACUCAAUGGUAAGUGCACGAAGUGCUUCUGAAUGGUUCUAAGGAGCUCUGGCUGAUGCUGUUACAGGGAUCGUUCUGGUUUCUCCAAGGAGGAGGAAAACAUCAAACUCUCUGAAGGAACAACAUCACAACCUGUGAGACAGACGUGCCAAUGGUCCCUAAGGAGCAGAAGCAUGCUGGGCCCCUAACCCAGAGAUCAAUGGAUCAAAACUAUCUUCUGCUGGGCUCUCAUUUGAUGGUUGGACUGGAUGAUCUUAGUGGUCUUUUCCAACCUUAAUGUUUCUAUGAUUCUAUGAUUCCAUCUGUCAAUCCGUUAUUUGUAUUUAGCUGUAACCCACAGGCUGCCAGAAAAACGCCAUUGUUUUCCUGGUCCCCAGUGACAACUAUCCCCUUGAAACCAUAGGGCAGCUUGCAGGCCAUGCCCUGUCUGCCACCUCCUGAUGUUUCCAGUCCUGCUGGGGGUCUCCCCAGAGGGUUAGUGGGUGUUUUCUAGAAGAAAAGCUUAAAUAUCAUCCCCAAAGUAUUUGUGACCUUUACUGCUCUUUCUGUCUUGAGAUAUUCUUGGAUGUUUGAGUGUUGCGGCAAUCCAUAUAGUCACUUCUCAUAGCUUGCCACUUCAAGUGCAGAGAGCACUUGACCAGGACGAGGUUUUCUAAAUUUCUCUUCCUCUGGCUGACUUUUCAUUCACCCGGUGGGGGAUUGUUUUGAGAACAUAGUGACAACUAAGCAAAAGAAAAUUCACAGCGACACUUGGGGCAAAGCUCCUUGGCAGUGAGAUGAAUUGAGCUUCUCAGGGGAAGUCCUGGGAAUGCUGUUGUUUGAGACUUUUAAAACUCUGUAGGUCAGAAAUCGCAGGGAACAGUUCUUUGCUGGCAAAUGGACAUACUGGUGGAGGUGAAGGGUCUGUCUCCUCUCAGCUUUUUUUUAUUAUUAUUAUUUAUCGUUUUAUCAGCAUCAGAUCAUUGAUUUCACCUCCACUUCAGUCUUGCUGUAUAUGCUAUACAGUCCAUAAUAAGCAUGAUACUAAAUGAU
RNAcentral lists this long non-coding RNA (1533 nucleotides) under Numida meleagris (helmeted guineafowl). RNAcentral describes it as "lncRNA (ENSNMEG00000017046.1)". The record is from RNAcentral. Lineage: Eukaryota; Metazoa; Chordata; Aves; Galliformes; Numididae.